This 253-nucleotide ribosomal RNA is filed under the name uncultured bacterium. RNAcentral describes it as "partial 16S ribosomal RNA". It matches the Rfam family "Bacterial small subunit ribosomal RNA", at positions 524 to 776 of the family's 1533-position model. The record is from RNAcentral.
UACGUAGGGGGCUAGCGUUGUCCGGAAUCAUUGGGCGUAAAGCGCGCGUAGGCGGCCCGGUAAGUCCGUUGUGAAAGUCAAAGGCUCAACCUUUGAAAGCCGAUGGAUACUGCCGGGCUGGAGUCCGGAAGAGGCGAGUGGAAUUCCUGGUGUAGCGGUGGAAUGCGCAGAUAUCAGGAGGAACACCGGUGGCGAAGGCGGUUCUCUGGGCAUGAUCUGACGCUGAGGAGCGAAAGUGUGGGGAGCGAACAGG